This 75-nucleotide antisense RNA is filed under the name Actinobacteria bacterium OK074. Its description in RNAcentral is "ASpks TB sRNA". It matches the Rfam family "ASpks TB sRNA". The record is from Rfam by way of RNAcentral. Lineage: Bacteria; Bacillati; Actinomycetota; Actinomycetes.
CUUCAGCGAACCGAGGCGGAGCGGCUGCCCCGCGGGACGGGUUUGCCCGUAGGUGUUGAUCAGUGCCCGUGCCUC